Molecule: non-coding RNA, 195 nt
Organism: Vicia faba (fava bean)
Lineage: Eukaryota; Viridiplantae; Streptophyta; Magnoliopsida; Fabales; Fabaceae
Source: the annotation of a GenBank genome assembly
UCAGAUUUUGGCCAAAUCCUUCCUUCCGUCAUAUAACUUCAGUGUAGAUUUUGAGCAAUUUAAAAGCAUGGACAAUUCAAAGCUGAGCAUUUUAAUGAGACAAGGAUGCAAUACGCUUCGAGCUUUGGUCGUGAAAGAUGAAGAUUUAAUCAAGAGGGUGAAAGCCAGGGCCAUGAAAACUAUGGAGUUUAUCAU